AGCGAACGCUGGCGGCAGGCUUAACACAUGCAAGUCGAACGCAUCCUUCGGGGUGAGUGGCAGACGGGUGAGUAACGCGUGGGAACAUGCCCUUUGGUUCGGAAUAACUCAGGGAAACUUGAGCUAAUACCGGAUAAGCCCUUUUGGGGAAAGACUUAUCGCCGAAGGAUUGGCCCGCGUCCGAUUAGCUAGUUGGUGAGGUAAUGGCUCACCAAGGCGACGAUCGGUAACUGGUCUGAGAGGAUGAUCAGCCACACUGGGACUGAGACACGGCCCAGACUCCUACGGGAGGCAGCAGUGGGGAAUAUUGGACAAUGGGGGCAACCCUGAUCCAGCCAUGCCGCGUGAGUGAUGAAGGCCCUAGGGUUGUAAAGCUCUUUCGGCGGGGACGAUAAUGACGGUACCCGCAGAAGAAGCCCCGGCUAACUUCGUGCCAGCCGCCGCCGUAA
Molecule: ribosomal RNA, 449 nt
Filed under: uncultured bacterium
Lineage: Bacteria
Description: partial 16S ribosomal RNA
Rfam family: Bacterial small subunit ribosomal RNA
Source: RNAcentral